UGGUGGAGCGCCGGAUCCUGGGCUGUGUCCCCCGGGGCCCUGGGCUCCAGGGCCUGCACUGCUGGAAUCGCGCUCCUGGGGCCGCGCAGCCCCCU
Non-coding RNA from Canis lupus familiaris (dog), 95 nucleotides. The record is from Rfam. Lineage: Eukaryota; Metazoa; Chordata; Mammalia; Carnivora; Canidae.